CAAAGACACGCCUCGGGCUUUUCACUGCCAGAGAAACAGAUCUUAUACUUGAAGCCCUUUCGAAGUAAUAUCAUUAGAGAGGAUGAAAUUUGGAGCACUUUUUGUCUAUGCAAGUCACGUUUCAAAGCUUCAAUGAAGCCAUGGGAACCAUUUGAAUGCUCAGAAACAAAUGCAAUUGUUUUGUCAGCAUGUCAACACAAAGGAAAAUUAAAAACAAAACAAUACAAAGAAAAAAAACCAGAUCUUCCCUAAACAUCUUCAAUGAGAAAGGUGCUAUGGUCGACAGUUCUCUGCCUUAUUUCAUGAAUGCAUGUAACAACACUGUGAGGUGGAAUUUUCUUUUCAAUUUUGAAGAAAAGAGAGACAGAUUCCCUUCCUACUGAGCCCAGCACUGAACAAACAUUCAAUGAUGGCUGCUGAAUGGAAUGGUAUUGAAAAGUAAAAAGCUACGCUUAAGGUCUUUUGAGAAAUUAUUUUCCACGAAAAAAGGUUUCAUAAACAUUCUGCUAACAAAAAUGUUCAAACAACGCAAUCCUGAUUUGUGCUCAAGAACAACAGUGUGAACAACUGUAUACCAUCAAGAUGGGAAAGCUGCUGCUACCACUUUAAUUUACAAUUGAGAGUGACAGUUUCAAGUCUGAGAAAUCUCAGAUCCUGGGUCUGGGGUAAUAAAUGUGCAAGAUGAGCCGGAAACAUCUCAUUAUAUGAGGUAUCGAGGAAACUAUCACAAAUUACCAUGGUCAUGGCAAAAGGGCUCAAAAGCCGAUUGCAGGAGAUGCUUCCUGGACGACGAUGGGGCAAUUUAAUUAUGAAAAUGAUGGCAAUAACACAUUAUUGAGU
Pteronotus mesoamericanus is the source of this 840-nucleotide long non-coding RNA. RefSeq lists it as uncharacterized. The record is from RefSeq and is a predicted model, not a curated record. NCBI's taxonomy places the organism in Eukaryota, Metazoa, Chordata, Mammalia, Chiroptera, Mormoopidae. The transcript has 4 exons.